GUGCCAGCCGCCGCGGUAAUACGUAGGGUGCAAGCGUUAAUCGGAAUUACUGGGCGUAAAGCGUGCGCAGGCGGUUUCGUAAGUCUGUCGUGAAAUCCCCGGGCUUAACCUGGGAAUGGCGAUGGAGACUGCGAGGCUAGAGUUUGGCAGAGGGGGGUAGAAUUCCACGUGUAGCAGUGAAAUGCGUAGAGAUGUGGAGGAACACCGAUGGCGAAGGCAGCCCCCUGGGUCAAAACUGACGCUCAUGCACGAAAGCGUGGGGAACAAACAGGAUUAGAUACCCUGGUAGUCCACGCCCUAAACGAUGUCUACUAGUUGUUGGGUCUUAGUUGACUUAGUAACGCAGCUAACGCGUGAAGUAGACCGCCUGGGGAGUACGGUCGCAAGAUCAAA
RNAcentral lists this ribosomal RNA (393 nucleotides) under uncultured bacterium. RNAcentral's name for it is "bacterial SSU rRNA". It matches the Rfam family "Bacterial small subunit ribosomal RNA", at positions 505 to 898 of the family's 1533-position model. The record is from RNAcentral.